This 861-nucleotide unclassified non-coding RNA is filed under the name Athalia rosae (coleseed sawfly). Its description in RNAcentral is "misc RNA ENSAEAG00005002603.1". Lineage: Eukaryota; Metazoa; Arthropoda; Insecta; Hymenoptera; Athaliidae. The record is from RNAcentral.
UUUCCAAAGUAAUAUAAAAACGUACGGUAUUUACGCGAGUAUUAAAACGGUCAAUAGCGAAAUAGUUGCUCAGUGAUAAGGUGAGGUUAUUCGAAUCGUUAGCGAGUGUGUACAUCUGUUUGUUUUAUCGUGAUAUAUAAUCGGUUUGACGGGUGAAGAAAUUUUUUCGCGUGGCAGCCAUAUUUUCGUCACAUGCAACCUGUUGUUUUGAAAGCGUGGCGGAGUGAGUGCAAGAGUGCCUGAUUCCUAGACGUCAAAAGGAGAUUCCGGAGAUCAGAAGACGUCCCCCAGGAUGAACGGAGAUACUCUGCACAGUGGGCAUAAGGUACGAACUACUCUUACACUUUCUAUUUUAAUUUAUUUUAUUUUUUCAAAAUUUUUAUUCUUCUCUUCUUACGAUACGAUCCAUCCAUGCCUAUCUAUACAAUCUUCAUCUAUUCUUCCGUUUCCAACUAUAUCGUGUUACCUACUCGACAAAAUUUAACAAGCAAUGCUGUUCUACGAACCGCGUUAAUUCCACCCCAUCUACGCUUAUAUAAUUCGUUCCAUUGUUGAACAAUUGUAAGCACUGGCACAUGAAUAUAAAUGGAGGUAAUACAGGAACAAAGUUUUUGCAUCAUAAAUCAGAGAAACGAAACUAUAAAGUAUUCAUCAUCAUAUUGUUGGAUAACGUGUACGAAUUGUCAAAGAUAAUCUUCCUUUGAAAUACAUUGUAAAGAGAAAAAAAAAUUACUUGGAUUUUUUUUUGCGCCGAAAUUUUUACUCGAAAUUAAUUUUUAAAGUAUUAUCUGUAUCUACCCUGUAAAAACGUGAAAAAUAUUGUCCGGCAGUGUACCGUGUCUACUGACAUUUUUGUUCGAC